This 1283-nucleotide ribosomal RNA is filed under the name Neisseriaceae bacterium 129G. Its description in RNAcentral is "bacterial SSU rRNA". It matches the Rfam family "Bacterial small subunit ribosomal RNA", at positions 74 to 1355 of the family's 1533-position model. Lineage: Bacteria; Pseudomonadati; Pseudomonadota; Betaproteobacteria; Neisseriales; Neisseriaceae. The record is from RNAcentral.
GGUAGCUUGCUCCGCUGACGAGUGGUGAACGGGUGAGAAAUGGGUCGGAACGUGCCGAGUAGUGGGGGAUAACUAUCCGAAAGGAUAGCUAAUACCGCAUACGCUUUGAGAAGGAAAGCAGGGGAUCUUAGGACCUUGCGCUAUUCGAGCGGCCGACGUCUGAUUAGCUAGUUGGUGAGGUAAGAGCUCACCAAGGCGACGAUCAGUAGCGGGUCUGAGAGGAUGAUCCGCCACACUGGGACUGAGACACGGCCCAGACUCCUACUGGAGGCAGCAGUGGGGAAUUUUGGACAAUGGGCGCAAGCCUGAUCCAUCCAUGCCGCGUGUCUGAAGAAGGCCUUCGGGUUGUAAAGGACUUUUGUCAGGGAGGAAAUCCCUAGCGCUAAUAUCGCUGGGGGAUGACAGUACCUGAAGAAUAAGCACCGGCUAACUACGUGCCAUCAGCCGCGGUAAUACGUAUGGUGCAAGCGUUAAUCGGAAUUACUGGGCGUAAAGCGUGCUCAGGCGGUUGUGUAAGUCUGAUGUGAAAGCCCCGGGCUUAACCUGGGAACUGCAUUGGAGACUGCACAGCUUGAGUGCGUCAGAGGGGGGUAGAAUUCCGCGUGUAGCAGUGAAUGCGUAGAGAUGCGGAGGAAUACCGAUGGCGAAGGCAGCCCCCUGGGAUGACACUGACGCUCAUGCACGAAAGCGUGGGGAGCAAACAGGAUUAGAUACCCUGGUAGUCCACGCCCUAAACGAUGUCAACUAGCUGUUGGGGGUUUGAAUCCUUGGUAGCGUAGCUAACGCGAGAAGUUGACCGCCUGGGGAGUACGGCCGCAAGGUUAAAACUCAAAGGAAUUGACGGGGACCCGCACAAGCGGUGGAUGAUGUGGAUUAAUUCGAUGCAACGCGAAAAACCUUACCUGGUCUUGACAUGUACAGAACUUUCCAGAGAUGGAUUGGUGCCCGAAAGGGAGCUGUAACACAGGUGCUGCAUGGCUGUCGUCAGCUCGUGUCGUGAGAUGUUGGGUUAAGUCCCGCAACGAGCGCAACCCUUGCCAUUAGUUGCUACCAUUCAGUUGAGCACUCUAAUGGGACUGCCGGUGACAAACCGGAGGAAGGUGGGGAUGACGUCAAGUCCUCAUGGCCCUUAUGACCAGGGCUUCACACGUCAUACAAUGGUCGGUACAGAGGGUCGCGAAGCCGCGAGGUGGAGCCAAUCUCAUAAAACCGAUCGUAGUCCGGAUCGCACUCUGCAACUCGAGUGCGUGAAGUCGGAAUCGCUAGUAAUCGCGGAUCAGCAU